RNAcentral lists this ribosomal RNA (380 nucleotides) under uncultured eukaryote. RNAcentral describes it as "partial 18S ribosomal RNA". It matches the Rfam family "Eukaryotic small subunit ribosomal RNA", at positions 592 to 976 of the family's 1831-position model. The record is from RNAcentral.
CAAUAGCGUAUAUUAAAGUUGUUGCAGUUAAAAAGCUCGUAGUUGGAUUUGUGGCGUACGGUGUGUUCCGGGCACUUGUUGUCUGAGUAACCUGCUGUUGCCAUCCUUGGGUGGAACCUGUGUGGCAUUAGGUUGUCGUGCAGGGGAUGCCCAUCAUUUAUUGUGAAAAAAUUAGAGUGUUCAAAGCAGGCUUAUGCCGUUGAAUAUAUUAGCAUGGAAUAAUGAGAUAGGACUUUUUUGCUAUUUUGUUGGUUUGCGCAAAGAGGUAAUGAUUAAUAGGGACAGUUGGGGGUAUUCGUAUUCCAUUGUCAGAGGUGAAAUUCUUGGAUUUUUGGAAGACGAACUACUGCGAAAGCAUUUACCAAGGAUGUUUUCAUUAA